GGAAAGAUGAAAAGAACUUUGAAAAGAGAGUUAAACAGUACGUGAAAUUGUUGAAAGGGAAACGAUUGAAGUCAGUCGUGCUGGCGCGAAAUCAACCCUCUCGUCUUGAGAUCACAUGGCGCGACGAGCCUCAAAACCGUCACGAAGCGUGAACUCUUGACGAAAAGGUGCACUUUCGUGUCCGCUGGUUAACAUCAAUUUCGAACGUCAUAAAAAGGCUGGAGGGAUGUGGCUCCUUCGGGAGUGUUAUAACCUUUAGCGGAAUGUGGUGUUCGGGAUUGAGGAUUGCAACGAAUACCUUCAGGGCUGUUCCACCUGGCUUCUCAUUGGUAUCCUGGUGACGACAGCUUGCUGACGUCGUUAGGAUCAGCUUCUGAACAGGCUAGAGUGUGAGCAAAUUCGUUAAGGAUGUUAACGUAAUGGCUUUAAACGACCGUCUUGAAACACGGACCA
RNAcentral lists this ribosomal RNA (453 nucleotides) under Entrophospora infrequens. RNAcentral describes it as "LSU rRNA". It matches the Rfam family "Eukaryotic large subunit ribosomal RNA", at positions 358 to 668 of the family's 3401-position model. The record is from RNAcentral. Lineage: Eukaryota; Fungi; Glomeromycota; Glomeromycetes; Entrophosporales; Entrophosporaceae.